Molecule: long non-coding RNA, 390 nt
Organism: Wyeomyia smithii (pitcher-plant mosquito)
Lineage: Eukaryota; Metazoa; Arthropoda; Insecta; Diptera; Culicidae
Exons: 3
Source: RefSeq, a predicted model, not a curated record
GUUUUAUUGUAAUUUUGCAUUUGAAACAAAAUCUAACACAUGCAAAGCUGUUUGAUAGGGGAUUCACAUCACUCUUAUUAUCAUUUCAAACAAAGUUUAUACGAAUUUAAGCACACAGCUCAGUUCACCGUGUCACGCGCACGACAAACGAAAGUUACUCAAAUUGCCCUUUUCCCAAGCAAACUCUGAACCUGAGGUACACUAAAGUUUGUUAAUUUUUUUCCCUCCACCUCCUGUCGCCUGAUAUGAAACCAGUCGUAAGGAAAUCAAAGCUAACUGCGUCUUAACUAAUAUUCGGUACACGUGUUAAAAUAGCACAUGGCUAUAGGUUCUGAUGCAGGUGCAUCGACAAAAACCGCCAAAAACGUAACAAAGGGCGGAAGGCAAUUU